AUGGGUGCUAAACAGGGUAGGGAGCUAGAAGCUCCUGAGGGUCCGAUCGUUAAUGUCAUGAGAAAGAAAUAUGGUGAAGAGAGUUUGUCAAAUUUAUCAAUUUGGACGGAAAUGUUCGGAUUUCCAAAGGGUGGUUCUUUAAGCAAAUUAAAAAUAAAGGACCUAAAAGAGAAAUUGCAAGAAGGAGAAGAUGGUAUUAGAAAGAACAAGAAAAUUAAAGUUAAAGAUUUAGAAAUGAUAGAAUGUCACAGAAAGUGUUUGAAGUACUGGGAAGAUGAAGCCGAGUGUAGGGAAAGACGGCAUUUAGCUGCUGCUUUAAAGAAAAUAAAUGUAGAAGAUAAGAAAGAGAAGAAAGACGAAAAAAGUCCGAUGUUUGAUCAUAUGUCCCACCCCACCCCUGCGCUUCCACCACCAUAUGUCCCUCUCAAUCCCAACCCGCAUAACCCAUUUAACACACACACUGUCACGGCUUCUUUGUAUCCCUGUGUAAAAGGCCGGCGUGAUUCCCUCUUGGAUGGCUGUCCGUUCCCACCUCUCCCAACUGUGCUAUCUGCACCAACUACUCCUCCACCAGGACCACAACCACAGGCUGCCGCUACACCACAAGAAGCGGAAGGGGGACAUCGUAUCCUGCCGCUACCAGUGAACAGUAACGACAGAAAGAUCACCAUCCUAAGCGAAGCCUUGGCCCGAAUAAACCUCACCGACGAAGAAGAGCUCCGUAAAAAAUUCAGAGCAGAGGCCGACGAAGAGCAUGAAAAAUACAAAUACUAUCUUCGAUCCCAGAGUAAAGAUCUACACAACCAAACAACCAUGAAUCUCCCCAUGAUCGAAGUACAGGGACACCUAGGUGCCGCUCUUGUUUUCCGCCCAUGGACCGUGGAAGAAAUGAAGUCUGUAAUCAAAGAUCACCUCCCUAACAUUGAAGAAAGCGGUGAGAAAUUUGCUGUUGAACUUUUAAUAUUCUGUCAGACAUUUAUGCCCACUAUGGCUGAAUUACGAAAAUUACUAAUUCUACGCUGUGGGGCUACCAACGCCUCCAAAUGGCAUAACGAGGUGGCCGGUGAUAGCCGCAUGGCUAACCCUACAUGGACGGACGCAGACAACAACAACUACACCAUCGCUGUUACGGCCCUCUGUGAAAAAAUUCGCACCUCCUUUCCUACCAAAGUCAACAUGACAAAGAUCUCUGCAUGCAGCCAAGAUGUCACAGAAUCGGUUGUCGAUUUCCUCCAUCGCCUGGAGAAGGUGUUUAACGAAAACAGCGGCAUCAACCGCCCCGACCCAAAUAACAUGGGUGCUACUCCAGGAGCAUGGGAAACCCAUCUCAUCAACACCCUCCUCCGGGGCCUACGCCCAGACAUUAGUGCCUCUGUUGUUGAAACAUGUGUUGGCGUGUAUGAAGGAGCCAGACUCGACGAAGUUCGCCGCCAUGCCAUUCACGCUGAAAAACGUCUCACAGCAGCUAAAGAACACUCUGAAAAACAAAGAAAAGACACUAAAGAUAAAGCUCAACUCUGCAUGCUCUCCACUCUAACAGCCUGGUCUCACAAGGACUCACAAGGAGCCCGUGGACGAGGUUUCCAACGGGGCAGAGGAGGAUUUCGAGGCAGAGGACGAGGACGUGGAGGGCCUCCACAGAAUAACGGUGCCUGUUUCAUCUGCAACAAACAAGAUCACUGGGUCAAAGAUUGUCCAGAAAGACGCAACCGACAACAGGGACGCGAACAACAGGAAUUCAGUCAGGACUACACAGCUGGAAACUGA
Cottoperca gobio is the source of this 1767-nucleotide long non-coding RNA. The record is from Ensembl. Lineage: Eukaryota; Metazoa; Chordata; Actinopteri; Perciformes; Bovichtidae.